GGUUGAUCCUGCCAGUAGUCAUAUGCUUGUCCUAAAGAUUAAGCCAUGCAUGUCCAAGUAUAAACAAGAAAGAUACGGUGAAACUGCGAAAGGCUCAAUAGAACAGUGAUAAUUCAAUUGACAGAUGGUAAUCAUACUACAAGGAUAACCGUGGUAAUUCUAGAGCUAAUACAUGCACAAGGCCCGAGUGUGCGAGCACCAGGGCGGUAUUUAUUAGAUAAAAGCCAACACAGAAGAAGUGGUGAAUCAGGAUAACUGAGCGGAUCGCAGGCCUCGAGCCAGCGACAAGUCAA
Molecule: ribosomal RNA, 293 nt
Filed under: uncultured eukaryote
Lineage: Eukaryota
Description: partial 18S ribosomal RNA
Rfam family: Eukaryotic small subunit ribosomal RNA
Source: RNAcentral